CGGACUGUGGCGCAGCUUGGCAGCGCACUUGACUGGGGGUCAAGGGGUCGCAGGUUCAAAUCCUGUCAGUCCGA
This 74-nucleotide transfer RNA is filed under the name Corynebacterium sp. Its description in RNAcentral is "tRNA-Pro". It matches the Rfam family "tRNA". Rfam says of the family: Transfer RNA (tRNA) molecules are approximately 80 nucleotides in length. Their secondary structure includes four short double-helical elements and three loops (D, anti-codon, and T loops). The record is from RNAcentral. Lineage: Bacteria; Bacillati; Actinomycetota; Actinomycetes; Mycobacteriales; Corynebacteriaceae.